CCUCGACCGCAAUCAAUCAGUUAUUUGUCAGCUCUUGUCAAUCCGCCCGUGAUUUAUGUCAGCUUUUGUUGCUGAUUACAAGGCUGGUGCGACUUGAAGGGAAAAAGGGAGAGGGAGAGGGAGAGAGACAGAGAGGAAGGAAGAGACCGAGGGGGAACUGGAGGAGGGAGAAAGAGGAGCCGCCUCCUGGGAUGUUGGGGGGGGGCGCUAAGAAAAAGAAUGAAAGAAGGGGAAAGAGGCGCUCAGUGUCAGGAAAAUGAAUAGCGAGAGUAAAGUGCGCAGGUGCGCCCGGGGCGCCGAGAUGGGGCGCGCAGGCCCGGCGUGUGCGCUUCGCUUCUCGGUGUAGGAGGGACAGAUGCACCGUCCACCUGGGUGGACGCCGCAGAGUUGGGAGGCUCGGGGUGACCAGGGCGAGCGGCCGCGACGUCUAACGCGGGAGAUUUCCUGCCUCCCCGGGGUAUCCCUGCGGGAGUGCCAGGCUGUGCUAUCCGGCCGCGGACACCACCUUUCAUAGUGCCCCGACCCCACACUCGGAGACUUCUUUCCAACAGCCGCGCCACCCACGUAACCUCGAGUCCUGGAGGUUAAUGGUGCUGUAGCCAAGGGGGAUUCUUUGAUCCCCUGGGAUUGCAGCGUGGACUGCACGGCUGCGGGGAAGAGGCUUGACCAUGGGUGUUGGGGAAAACACGCUUCAGGCUCACUACGCCGAUCUGUCGCCCUCCCCCGGUGCCCACUCCUCGCCGUCCUCGCAGUCCUGGGAGCCUGGGCUCCUCGGGACUGCUCGCUCAGAGGUCACAGGACGCCGAGCGGGGACUGCCCGGCGCGGGUAGAGCAGAAGGAAGGAGUGAAGGGAGAGGGCGGCUGCCGGUGGGAAUGCGCGUUCUUCCCAGGAAGCGGAGCGGGACUGCCGCGUUCCCCUCGAUUUGCACCGUCAGCCGGGCCUGCCGUUUGGACAGAAGAGGGAGGCGCUGUGCGUGUCGCGGUGUCCCCGGACGCGGGCGCACAGAGUAUACGUGCGUGUGUGUGUGUGUGUGUGUGUGUGUGUGUGUGUGUGUGUGUAUCUGCGCCGCUGUCGCAGUGCUCAGGGCCUCGAGAGCGUCCGGAGCGAGUUCGAGGGUCACCUCCAGCAAUUCGCAGAAACUGAAAGAGGGGAGGACACACCUCCUUCCUCGGGAGGACUUGGAAGACUUUGCAUCUCCCCUCCCCCACUUUUCCGCCCGGCUCUUCUUUUGUUGUCAAGUCCUUUUGAUAAAUGGUGGGGCUGGAAGCGCUGGGAGCCUGGAGUCCGUCUGUGCCGCGCGGGGCGGGGGCCGGGUUUCGACCGGCGCGCACCCGGAGCGGAGCCGGGUACGCGCGGGGGUCCAGACUGGGACCUACCCUCACCCCUUUCCCCCUUCUGUCUGUUUCCCACUCCGCAAGGGUACAGAGAACUUUCUGGGAAUCGACGAGAUUUCUCUGACUGUCAUUUGCAUUGAAUUUAUCCGAAUAAAUCCAACUCUCAGGCAUCCAGCAGAACCCGCUCUCUACUGGCAAGCACUGUGCGAUGCACCCGGCCCAGCCAGGGUUGCGGGGUGGCUCCCGGGGCUCAGGGCGGCAGGUCUGACCUCCGAGGUCGGUGCACCAAAGGAAGGCACCCUCAGCUCCAGCGGCUUCUCGCUGCUCAGCGGUGUCUGGCGCCUUCACUUUGCUUAAUGCCUCGGGAACUUGCCUGGCUGAGUCCGCCAGCAGCGAAAAACUGAAAGCAAACUCUACUGCAGACGUAGCCUGAACUUUUCUCGACCCAAGUUUGCAACCAAGAUUGGUGACGGCUUUGGGAGGACCUCGGGCUUGGGAGUGCGCUGGCGCGGGGCAGGGUGGGGUCAAAGAGGGCACAGGAUGGCCGCGCCUGGCCGGAGGCGAAAAUGCUAGGGAAGCCUUCCACUCCACUCCUACUUCUUUACAACUCUGCGGCUCCGAAUGGUAAAAAAGAAAAGAAAGAGUAAGUUUCCAACCUGCCACGAACGCCCAGGCUGGAUCACACUAGGGGGCAACUCGAAGGGGCCGGACUUUUAAAACUUGCUGAAAGCUUGGCUCAGAAGCGUCAUCCCACGAAGCUCAAGAAAACUGAGGACCCUUUCACCUCCUUUGGGACGGAAUAGUCAGGAGCCAGUCCGGGCACCCCUCUGCCUACUUCUUUAUCCUGGCCUCGAACAAGAGGUUAAGUAACUACCCACCGACACUGUGGAGCUGCAAACUUUCAGCUCUGCGCUGCGAUCCACAGAAGAGGCCUGGACAUAGAGGGGCGGGAAAGACCACUCCUCCGCCCCCUCGACCCCAGGAGAGAUCUGCACCGGGAUGGCCGGGCGAGUGCGGUUCCCACAUGUCUGUUCCGAUGCUCAGAGCUGAUCCCCCAACUCCGGGCAGCCGGCGCUUUUCCCCUGAGUUUCGGAUUUAGGGAGCCCGCGGAGGGGCGCAAAGUGCGCGCGCGGACUGGCGCGGGGGCGGCCGCUCAUCUCACCGCGGGGCCUGUCGCCGGGCUGGCCGCGGCGGGUGAGUGAUGAGGGCAGAGAAGGGCGCCCAUAAAUCGUGGGUGUCAGGGCGAAAAACUCUCUUUAUUGUCUGCGUGAUGGAUGGGCCCGGGGACGAGACACCAAAUACUUCGUAUCGCCUUUAAAUGGGAACACAUUUUCCGCGGCCAUAAUUCAUGUUUUUUAAAUAGAAAGUUUGAAAUGUUGCCUAUAUUUCACCAGCCCUGACAUAUUUAUGAAUCGCUCCCUGCAUGCAAAUAUCAUUAUUUAAAGCGCCAGGGAGAGCGCGGGGGAGGGGAGAAGGCGCGGUCCCCGGGGCGUGGGGGUUGUGAACCGGGGAAAUGUCGGGAGGGGGGACAUCUCCCUAAAGGGCAAAGGAUGGAGCGCGGGGAGGAGACCGCGCUUCGGAGCUGAGCUCGCCAAGGGGCUUUCUUCCGGCUGCCAGGCAGCGCGCGGCCACGGGGGAGGAAGGUUGCGCGGUUUGGGGCGCAGGACGAACCCUGGUCUCCUGUCUCUAGGCCGGGAAAUAUUUCAGGUCCCUCUCCCAGGGAUGGACCCAAGCUGAAGCCAUCUUUUCCAAAAAGGAAGUGAAAAAAAAAAAAAGGAAUUUAACAAACGUAAAUAAUAACCCAGUAUGUUUCAUGUUCUUUGCUAUUGCAUCGAUUUAUUGAUUUUCAUUCUGCAAACCCGGGAUUGUGCGCACCCGGACCGGGCGGCUAUCAGAACUCAGCCACCGCAGGGGACAGGUGAGGGGGACCAUCCCCGGGGACCACCGCCCCGAUCCGCCCCACCCUGCAGCCUCACCACUUCCCAGGUACAACGGCGAUAGCGCAAGACGCGGGGACACCAAUGACCCGGCCUCCAAGCUCCAGGGCUGCAGUCCCGCCCCUUCUCUCCCCCAGCAUAGCUUCCAGGGUCUGCGUCCACCCGGCUGGACCCCCUACUGUCAGAACAAUCGCUUUGGAAAAAAGCUGGGACCAGGCCGUGGCUUUUCCCUAGUCGUCCUGCCCGGGAAGCGCCUACACCUGCGCCCCUACUUGCCAAGACUUUACCUGUGCGGUCCCCAGCUGCGCCUGCGGCCGCGCAGAUAACACAGAAAUGGUAGGGAAGGCGGGAGAGUGGGUGGGUCAGACAGCAUCACCCGAGAGAGCCCGAGGCGCAGACCCAGGGGCGUCGGUGCAGACCCGAUGCUGGGACCCUAGCCCAACCCGCCAGCGGAUCCAAAUAGCACCAAGGAGAUCCGGCAAGGGGAGGGACCCGGGGAAGGCUGCUGCAGCUGCCGGAGGGGCGGGCCCAGCAGCACUUCCGCUGGAGGCGGGGCUGCGGACUGAUGCGCAGGCCCCGCCUCUCCGUCGCGCUGGCCCCGCCUCUCCGCCGCUCCUGCCCACCCGCUGCUCGCUAGGCUUCUCCCCAUCCGCUGCCGGGGCGAAGAAUCUUAAGUGCCAGCCCAAUCCCUGAGACAGAACUCCAGGUUGCAAUGGGCGGACGGUCUCCAGCACUGCAGCCCAUCACUCUGGAGGAGCCUUCUGAGGCUGUCGCUUCUCUGCCUAAGGGAGUGAGAGCAGGACUGGCCUGUUGACCCCCGCUGUGCAGUGGGCUCAACCCAACCCUAGCCCCUGGCCAGCCCCCAGCUUCCUGGGAAAAGCAGCCCGCUCUUUCUUUGUAGUCUCUAUGGAAGCCAGACUUCCAAAGGAGACAAACUCUUUCCACUUUCUCCAUUCUUCGUGAACUUGGGUGUGAUAGGCAGCCAUCGUGUCACCAGGAGGAAAAGUACAAGAAAAUAGCAGACUUAAUUCUGAUGUCACCGGGAUACAGAGCCACCAGCAGUGACCAACUUGCUCCAAAACUUUUGUUAAAAAAAAAAUAAAGUUCCUAUUUCUUUAAGUCAAUGAAAUUGGAGAUUUUUGUAUUUUCAGCCAAACAUAUCCUAACCUUCCCCUUUAGCAAGCACUUCCAAUGAUGUUAUACCAUGGAAAUUC
Cavia porcellus (domestic guinea pig) is the source of this 4486-nucleotide long non-coding RNA. RefSeq lists it as uncharacterized. The record is from RefSeq and is a predicted model, not a curated record. The transcript has 4 exons. NCBI's taxonomy places the organism in Eukaryota, Metazoa, Chordata, Mammalia, Rodentia, Caviidae.